RNAcentral lists this ribosomal RNA (484 nucleotides) under uncultured bacterium. RNAcentral describes it as "partial 16S ribosomal RNA". It matches the Rfam family "Bacterial small subunit ribosomal RNA", at positions 30 to 507 of the family's 1533-position model. The record is from RNAcentral.
AUUGAACGCUGGCGGCAGGCCUAACACAUGCAAGUCGAGCGGAUGAAGGGAGCUUGCUCCUGGAUUCAGCGACGGACGGGUGAGUAAUGCAUAGGAAUCUGCCUGGUAGUGGGGGAUAACGUCCGGAAACGGGCGCUAAUACCGCAUACGUCAUGAGGGAGAAAGUGGGGGAUCUUCGGACCUCACGCUAUCAGAUGAGCCUAGGUCGUAUUAGCUAGUUGGUGUGGUAAAGGCCUACCAAGGCGACGAUCCGUAACUGGUCUGAGAGGAUGAUCAGUCACACUGGAACUGAGACACGGUCCAGACUCCUACGGGAGGCAGCAGUGGGGAAUAUUGGACAAUGGGCGAAAGCCUGAUCCAGCCAUGCCGCGUGUGUGAAGAAGGUCUUCGGAUUGUAAAGCACUUUAAGUUGGGAGGAAGGACAGUAAGUUAAUACCUUGCUGUUUUGACGUUACCAACAGAAUAAGCACCGGCUAACUUCGUG